RNAcentral lists this long non-coding RNA (536 nucleotides) under Volvox carteri. Its description in RNAcentral is "long non-coding RNA (VCAR_LNC003653)". The record is from RNAcentral. Lineage: Eukaryota; Viridiplantae; Chlorophyta; Chlorophyceae; Chlamydomonadales; Volvocaceae.
AACCUUUCCAACCCACCAUCCAAUUUCUGGCACAGCGGCACACUUCCUGCACAUGAACCAUGUAUGCACAUCAUUUGGAUGGGAGUUAUCCUUGCUACGCCGGUACACAGCUUUGAUGUCGAUACAGUCAUUUAAGCAUACACCUGCAAGACGCUCACUGAAGCUUGGUGGUACAUCAAAUUUGUAUGGCUCCUUGAGUGCAUCACUAGUGCGCCAGAUUUCCAACGGCCACAAGUUCCUUAGUACCGAGUCCUGGAUGGCCUGCAAGGCGUAAUAUCAUUUGCCGACGUUCGGUAAGUACACCAUGAUGCUCAUUUCAACCAGACAUACGUACCCAUGCACCCACCCUAAAACCCUAAAACCCUGCACAGGAGAACAGAGGAGAGCAAUGGGACAGCAGAGAUAAGCAGGACAUGGUAAGGGAGGGCUGAGAAAGCAAGGGAUGGCAGAAGAGAGCAAGAGAGGGCAAUAUUGCCCUCCAUUAAUCCCUAUGGCAUACUCCAGGCCGGUUCCGGCCCGGUUCCGACCUAACGGGU